Molecule: ribosomal RNA, 391 nt
Filed under: uncultured bacterium
Lineage: Bacteria
Description: bacterial SSU rRNA
Rfam family: Bacterial small subunit ribosomal RNA
Source: RNAcentral
UUGGACAAUGGGCGCAAGCCUGAUCCAGCCAUGCCGCGUGAGUGAAGAAGGCCCUCGGGUUGUAAAGCUCUUUUGUCCGGAAAGAAAAGCAUCGGGUUAAUACCCCGGUGUUCUGACGGUACCGGAAGAAUAAGCACCGGCUAACUUCGUGCCAGCAGCCGCGGUAAUACGAAGGGUGCAAGCGUUACUCGGAAUUACUGGGCGUAAAGCGUGCGUAGGUGGUUCGUUAAGUCUGAUGUGAAAGCCCUGGGCUCAACCUGGGAAUGGCAUUGGAGACUGGCGGGCUGGAGUGCGGUAGAGGGUAGCGGAAUUCCCGGGGUAGCAGUGAAAUGCGUAGAGAUCGGGAGGAACAUGCGGGGCGAAGGCGGCUACCUGGACCAGCACUGACACU